Molecule: microRNA precursor, 82 nt
Organism: Bison bison bison
Lineage: Eukaryota; Metazoa; Chordata; Mammalia; Artiodactyla; Bovidae
Source: Ensembl
AUUGGGUUGGCCAAAAUGUCUAUUUGGAUUUUUCCUUUACGUCCUAUGGAAAAAACCCGAACGAACUUUUGGGCCAACCCAA